AGUGAACGCUGGCGGCAGGCCUAACACAUGCAAGUCGAACGGCAGCACAAGAGAGCUUGCUCUCUGGGUGGCGAGGGGCGGACGGGUGAGGAAUGCAUCGGAAUCUGCCCAUUUGUGGGGGAUAACCUCGGGAAACCGGGACUAAUACCGCAUACGACCUACGGGUGAAAGCAGGGGAUCUUCGGACCUUGCGCAGAUGGAUGAGCCGAUGCCGGAUUAGCUAGUUGGAGGGGUAAAGGCCCACCAAGGCGACGAUCCGUAGCUGGUCUGAGAGGAUGAUCAGCCACACUGGGACUGAGACACGGCCCAGACUCCUACGGGAGGCAGCAGUGGGGAAUAUUGGACAAUGGGCGCAAGCCUGAUCCAGCCAUGCCGCGUGUGUGAAGAAGGCCUUCGGGUUGUAAAGCACUUUUGUUGGGAAAGAAAAGCAGCCGGUUAAUACCCGGUUGUCAUGACGGUACCCAAAGAAUAAGCACCGGCUAACUUCGUG
Molecule: ribosomal RNA, 490 nt
Filed under: uncultured bacterium
Lineage: Bacteria
Description: partial 16S ribosomal RNA
Rfam family: Bacterial small subunit ribosomal RNA
Source: RNAcentral